CCGCUCAUAUUUCAGUUAGCCAUAUAGUCAUUUGAGAUAGUAUUUGGAAUGUUUUUUUAUCUUGUUGCAAUCGGCUUGGGCCUGUCUGUGGUCUACCCUAUUACCCUUCAUAACUCAUCUUAUUGGUCCAUCACCAUCUGUUAAGAUGUUCAACUCUUCAACCUGCACAUAGAAAAUACCACAAAAGUUAUAUCUAGAGAGGAGAACAUCACUUUCCCCUUCAAUUCCUCCCUAACACAACAUGUUAGAACUCAUUUUUCACUUGAAACAUACUAAACCAAUUAACAGAGGGAACUCUGUCUCCCUCCUUCACGCAUCAUUCAUCACCCAGACUCAUCCCCGAC
RNAcentral lists this long non-coding RNA (344 nucleotides) under Vigna radiata. RNAcentral's name for it is "long non-coding RNA (VRAD_LNC010939)". Lineage: Eukaryota; Viridiplantae; Streptophyta; Magnoliopsida; Fabales; Fabaceae. The record is from RNAcentral.